CCCUUAGAUGUUCGGGGCCGCACGCGCGCUACACUGAAGGACUCAGCGUGUCUCUCCCCCUAUCCCGAAAGGGAUGGGCAACCCGUUGAACCUCCUUCGUGCUAGGGAUUGGGGUUUGCAAUUAUCCCCCAUGAACGAGGAAUUCCCAGUAAGCGCGAGUCAUCAGCUCGCGUUGAUUACGUCCCUGCCCUUUGUACACACCGCCCGUCGCUACUACCGAUUGGAUGGUUUAGUGAGACCCUCGGAUCGGUCCCGACUCGGGGUGGGCUUCUGCCCCGGUCGUGGUUUCGCCGAGAAGACGGUCAAACUUGACUAUCGAGAGGAAGUAAAAGUCGUAACA
This 340-nucleotide ribosomal RNA is filed under the name uncultured eukaryote. RNAcentral's name for it is "partial 18S ribosomal RNA". It matches the Rfam family "Eukaryotic small subunit ribosomal RNA", at positions 1470 to 1796 of the family's 1831-position model. The record is from RNAcentral.